AGCGCCGCGCUGGUUCCCAGUCCGCGGACUGGACCGGAACCAGCGCGGCGCCUCU
Molecule: microRNA precursor, 55 nt
Filed under: Tetraodon nigroviridis (spotted green pufferfish)
Lineage: Eukaryota; Metazoa; Chordata; Actinopteri; Tetraodontiformes; Tetraodontidae
Description: Tni-Novel-2_pre stem-loop
Source: RNAcentral